This 221-nucleotide long non-coding RNA is filed under the name Homo sapiens (human). RNAcentral's name for it is "HSALNT0350465". The record is from RNAcentral. Lineage: Eukaryota; Metazoa; Chordata; Mammalia; Primates; Hominidae.
GUUCAAUUUGCUAAUGCAAGGGUUGAUUUUAUGUGAAGCCAUGCUGAGGCCUCAUUUUGUUCCCCAGGCUGGAGUGCAGUGGUGUGAUCUCAGCUCACUGGAACCUCCGCCUCCUGAUUUCAAGCGAUUCUCUUGCCUCAGCCUCCUGAGUAGCUGGGACUACAGGUGCGCCUGGCUAAUUUUUGUAUUUUUUGGUAGAGACGGGAUUUCACCAUGUUGGC